RNAcentral lists this ribosomal RNA (591 nucleotides) under Botryosphaeria dothidea. RNAcentral's name for it is "eukaryotic LSU rRNA". The stretch from base 217 to 370 matches the Rfam family "5.8S ribosomal RNA". Lineage: Eukaryota; Fungi; Ascomycota; Dothideomycetes; Botryosphaeriales; Botryosphaeriaceae. The record is from RNAcentral.
UAAUCGGCUUCGUAGGUGACCUGCGGAGGAUCAUUACCGAGUUGAUUCGGGCUCCGGCCCGAUCCUCCCACCCUUUGUGUACCUACCUCUGUUGCUUUGGCGGGCCGCGGUCCUCCGCGGCCGCCCCCCUCCCCGGGGGGGUGGCCAGCGCCCGCCAGAGGACCAUCAAACUCCAGUCAGUAAACGAUGCAGUCUGAAAAACAUUUAAUAAACUAAAACUUUCAACAACGGAUCUCUUGGUUCUGGCAUCGAUGAAGAACGCAGCGAAAUGCGAUAAGUAAUGUGAAUUGCAGAAUUCAGUGAAUCAUCGAAUCUUUGAACGCACAUUGCGCCCUUUGGUAUUCCGAAGGGCAUGCCUGUUCGAGCGUCAUUACAACCCUCAAGCUCUGCUUGGUAUUGGGCACCGUCCUUUGCGGGCGCGCCUCAAAGACCUCGGCGGUGGCGUCUUGCCUCAAGCGUAGUAGAACAUACAUCUCGCUUCGGAGCGCAGGGCGUCGCCCGCCGGACGAACCUUCUGAACUUUUCUCAAGGUUGACCUCGGAUCAGGUAGGGAUACCCGCUGAACUUAAGCAUAUCAAUAAGUCGGAGGAA